RNAcentral lists this ribosomal RNA (465 nucleotides) under uncultured bacterium. Its description in RNAcentral is "partial 16S ribosomal RNA". It matches the Rfam family "Bacterial small subunit ribosomal RNA", at positions 338 to 795 of the family's 1533-position model. The record is from RNAcentral.
CCUACGGGGGGCAGCAGUAGGGAAUCUUCCACAAUGGGCGAAAGCCUGAUGGAGCAACGCCGCGUGAGUGAAGAAGGUCUUCGGAUCGUAAAACCCUGUUGUUAGAGAAGAAAGUGCGUGCGUGUAUCUGUUCACGUUUCGACGGUAUCUACCCAGAAAGCCCCGGCUAACUACGUGCCAGCAGCCGCGGUAAUACGUAGGUGGCAAGCGUUAUCCGGAUUUAUUGGGCGUAAAGGGAACGCAGGCGGUCUUUUAAGUCUGAUGUGAAAGCCUUCGGCUUAACCGGGGUAGUGCAUUUGAAACUGGGAGGCUUGAGUGCAGAAGAGGAGAGUGGAACUCCAUGUGUAGCGGUGAAAUGCGUAGAUAUAUGGAAGAACACCAGUGGCGAAGGCAGCUCUCUGGGCUGUAACUGACGCUGAGGUUCGAAAGCGUGGGUAGCAAACAGGAUUAGAUACCCUUGUAGUC